Molecule: long non-coding RNA, 267 nt
Filed under: Phasianus colchicus (ring-necked pheasant)
Lineage: Eukaryota; Metazoa; Chordata; Aves; Galliformes; Phasianidae
Description: lncRNA (ENSPCLG00000019615.1)
Source: RNAcentral
CAGGAAGAAAUUAAAGAAUGAGCUGUUCCAUUGGUCUCAGCCUUGCUAAGGUAUUUGCAUACUGGAUAUCUGGGAUUUGCAGAGAAACAUGGAGAUGAAUGUGAAUAGAAUAAUUAUCUGUUCUUCAAGGCCGACAGUGUCAGACGAAUGCUUGUUUCCUAUCAAGAAUGUCUGAGGGAUUUUCAGCCAAGGGAACCACAGAACUGGAGAACAGACAACACUAGGAAUGUUUUAUCCACUAGCUAAUUAUUGAGAAAAUAUUCUGAG